Molecule: ribosomal RNA, 384 nt
Filed under: uncultured bacterium
Lineage: Bacteria
Description: bacterial SSU rRNA
Rfam family: Bacterial small subunit ribosomal RNA
Source: RNAcentral
AUUGAACGCUGGCGGCAUGCCUUACACAUGCAAGUCGAACGGCAGCACGGGAGCAAUCCUGGUGGCGAGUGGCGAACGGGUGAGUAAUAUAUCGGAACGUGCCCAGUCGUGGGGAUAACGUAGCGAAAGCUACGCUAAUACCGCAUACGAUCUAUGGAUGAAAGCGGGGGAUCGCAAGACCUCGCGCGAUUGGAGCGGCCGAUAUCAGAUUAGGUAGUUGGUGAGGUAAAGGCUCACCAAGCCGACGAUCUGUAGCUGGUCUGAGAGGACGACCAGCCACACUGGGACUGAGACACGGCCCAGACUCCUACGGGAGGCAGCAGUGGGGAAUUUUGGGACAAUGGGCGCAAGCCUGAUCCAGCAAUGCCGCGUACAGGAUGAAGG